UACGUAGGGGGCGAGCGUUACCCGGAUUUACUGGGCGUAAAGCGCGUGUAGGCGGCUGGCCAAGCGUGGUGUGAAAUCUUCGGGCUUAACCCGAAAACUGCAUUGCGAACUGGUCUGGCUAGAGUGUGUGAGAGGGUAGUGGAAUUCCCGGUGUAGCGGUGAAAUGCGUAGAUAUCUGGAGGAACACCGGUGGCGAAGGCGGCAUCCUGGACCAAUUCUGACGCUGAGGAGCGAAAGCCAGGGGAGCAAACGGG
This 254-nucleotide ribosomal RNA is filed under the name uncultured bacterium. RNAcentral describes it as "partial 16S ribosomal RNA". It matches the Rfam family "Bacterial small subunit ribosomal RNA", at positions 524 to 776 of the family's 1533-position model. The record is from RNAcentral.